GAUGAACGCUGGCGGCGUGCCUAAUACAUGCAAGUCGAGCGAACUUUUGGGAGCUUGCUCCCAAAAGUUAGCGGCGGACGGGUGAGUAACACGUGGGUAACCUGCCUGUAAGACUGGGAUAACUUCGGGAAACCGGAGCUAAUACCGGAUAACAUUGAAGACCAAAUGGCCUUCAUUUAAAAGGGGGUUUUUAGCUACCAUUUACAGAUGGACCCGCGGCGCAUUAGCUAGUUGGUGAGGUAACGGCCCACCAAGGCGACGAUGCGUAGCCGACCUGAGAGGGUGAUCGGCCACACUAGGACUGAGACACGGCCCAGACUCCUACGGGAGGCAGCAGUAGGGAAUCUUCCGCAAUGGACGAAAGUCUGACGGAGCAACGCCGCGUGAGCGAAGAAGGCCUUCGGGUCGUAAAGCUCUGUUGUUAGGGAAGAACAAGUAUCGUUCGAAUAGGGCGGUACCUUGACGGUACCUAACCAGAAAGCCACGGCUAACUACGUG
RNAcentral lists this ribosomal RNA (498 nucleotides) under uncultured bacterium. RNAcentral describes it as "partial 16S ribosomal RNA". It matches the Rfam family "Bacterial small subunit ribosomal RNA", at positions 28 to 507 of the family's 1533-position model. The record is from RNAcentral.